RNAcentral lists this ribosomal RNA (452 nucleotides) under uncultured bacterium. Its description in RNAcentral is "bacterial SSU rRNA". It matches the Rfam family "Bacterial small subunit ribosomal RNA", at positions 340 to 783 of the family's 1533-position model. The record is from RNAcentral.
UACGGAAGGCAGCAGUGGGGAAUAUUGCACAAUGGGCGCAAGCCUGAUGCAGCCAUGCCGCGUGUAUGAAGAAGGCCUUCGGGUUGUAAAGUACUUUCAGUCGUGAGGAAGGUGUUAAGGUUAAUAACCUUAGCAAUUGACGUUAGCGACAGAAGAAGCACCGGCUAACUCCGUGCCAGCAGCCGCGGUAAUACGGAGGGUGCGAGCGUUAAUCGGAAUUACUGGGCGUAAAGGGCACGCAGGCGGUUAAUUAAGUUGGAUGUGAAAUCCCCGGGCUUAACCUGGGAAUGGCAUUCAAGACUGGUUAGCUAGAGUCUUGUAGAGGGGGUAGAAUUCCGAUGUGUAGCGGUGAAAUGCGUAGAGAUGUGGAGGAAUACCGGUGGCGAAGGCGGCCCCUGGACAAAGACUGACGCUCAUGUGCGAAAGCGUGGGGAGCGAAACAGGGAUUAGAU